AUCCAACUGACGCAUCUCAAAUAAGACGAAGCGCGUGUCAAACUGGAU
Molecule: non-coding RNA, 48 nt
Filed under: Schistosoma mattheei
Lineage: Eukaryota; Metazoa; Platyhelminthes; Trematoda; Strigeidida; Schistosomatidae
Source: RNAcentral